RNAcentral lists this long non-coding RNA (426 nucleotides) under Homo sapiens (human). RNAcentral describes it as "HSALNT0403733". Lineage: Eukaryota; Metazoa; Chordata; Mammalia; Primates; Hominidae. The record is from RNAcentral.
GCUUAGCCCAGCAGGGAAGAAACACAACGUCUGAAAGCACCAAAGUUUUUCAUCUUAAAAUUUUUACUACACGGGAAGGACGGACUCAUGCUUUCUCUCUGGUGCGGGCAAGAUACUGUGCAGAGCUUGAAUGCUUGUCCCAAAUCAAAUAGUAGGAAAGGCAGUAGUAAGCAAACUUGGGUGGUCUCCUAAACAUGUCUACAGCUUCCUUGCAUCCUGUGUUUGCUCUGGGUGAUGGUCCCCAUACCCAACUCCAUCAUUCAACAUUCUGCUCCGCCUUCAAGUUAGAAGUUUCCAGAUUACCUCUCCCAAGUGACUUUUUUGCAGAUCAAGAAACAAAGGCUUGGACAGGCUAUUUUAAGCAAGUCUUAAUAAGGCAAAAACAUUUUCAUGGAAACAAAAUGUUAGAAGUACAUUUAAAAGUAU